Molecule: ribozyme, 71 nt
Filed under: Rodentolepis nana
Lineage: Eukaryota; Metazoa; Platyhelminthes; Cestoda; Cyclophyllidea; Hymenolepididae
Description: Hymenolepis nana HDV ribozyme from F. prausnitzii
Rfam family: HDV ribozyme from F. prausnitzii
Source: Rfam by way of RNAcentral
GGUGUGCGAUAGGCAUACCUCCAUGUGGUGCACACUGGGCAACGUAUACUCAUACGGCAAAAAAAGUCUAU